Molecule: non-coding RNA, 593 nt
Organism: Oncorhynchus mykiss (rainbow trout)
Lineage: Eukaryota; Metazoa; Chordata; Actinopteri; Salmoniformes; Salmonidae
Source: RefSeq, a predicted model, not a curated record
AGGAGCUCGCUGGCAUUCAGUCUGUCCCUCCUGUCUUUCCAGUCCCUGGACAGAAGUGUCUCCGCACAGGUAGACUCUACGGAAGGAGAGAGGAACACGCAAGUUCCUAGUUCUCAGAUCAACCCAAGAAGAUGAACCCUGAAGAUGGGACAAAGUGCAUGGCAAGGUGGCCCAGAGGAAGCCAGCUGUUCUCAACCGCCAGCUGUUCUCAACCGAGCUCGCAGAGUUUGAACGAAUGAAGACCUCUGGUGAGGGGUGAGAAAUAGCUGAGAAAAUCCGAACUGAGGAGGAUUGUUAUUGAGACCCAUGAGGAACAGUUGAUGCCAUGCUGACUUCUCUCUCUCUCUCCUGGAUGCUCUGCUCCUCAAAUGGAGUUGCCCCUGAUCAUAGAUCUAGGAUUGUACCCAAUCCUAAUUUCAACUCCCUCUCUCGCUUUGUCUCUCUCUCUCUCCGCCCACACCCCCACACAAUAUCUUUUUUAGAUUUGUGUUGCAAUGAUGCUCUCAUAUGUGUUAACCGUUUAUACUUCUAUUGUCAAGUCGGUUGUUUCCUUUGUUGCUAAUGUUGUUGCCAAUUUGAAUAAACACAUUUUA